AGGACGAACGCUGGCGGCGUGCUUAACACAUGCAAGUCGAGCGGAAAGGCCCUUCGGGGUACUCGAGCGGCGAACGGGUGAGUAACACGUGAGUAACCUGCCCUAGGCUUUGGGAUAACCCUCGGAAACGGGGGGCUAAUACUGGAUAUUCCCGCGGGAUCGCAUGGUUUUGUGGGGAAAGGUUUUCCGGCUUGGGAUGGGCUCGCGGCCUAUCAGCUUGUUGGUGGGGUGAUGGCCUACCAAGGCGACGACGGGUAG
RNAcentral lists this ribosomal RNA (258 nucleotides) under uncultured bacterium. RNAcentral describes it as "partial small subunit ribosomal RNA". It matches the Rfam family "Bacterial small subunit ribosomal RNA", at positions 26 to 286 of the family's 1533-position model. The record is from RNAcentral.